GCCAACUUAGCUCAGCUGGUAGAGCAGCGCAUUCGUAAUGCGCAGGUCCUGGGUCCGAAUCCCUGAGUUGGCUCCA
RNAcentral lists this transfer RNA (76 nucleotides) under Kiritimatiellia bacterium. RNAcentral describes it as "Kiritimatiellae bacterium (gut metagenome) tRNA-Thr". It matches the Rfam family "tRNA". From Rfam's summary of the family: Transfer RNA (tRNA) molecules are approximately 80 nucleotides in length. Their secondary structure includes four short double-helical elements and three loops (D, anti-codon, and T loops). Lineage: Bacteria; Pseudomonadati; Kiritimatiellota; Kiritimatiellia. The record is from RNAcentral.